RNAcentral lists this long non-coding RNA (6556 nucleotides) under Sus scrofa (pig). RNAcentral's name for it is "lncRNA (ENSSSCG00060029098.1)". Lineage: Eukaryota; Metazoa; Chordata; Mammalia; Artiodactyla; Suidae. The record is from RNAcentral.
GUAUGGAGUAAGAUAGGGAGUAGGUUGUAUGGUGUGCUACCCUUACCACAUGUACAUAUAUAGAAAGAAGAAGCAUGUACUUGUGUGCAUCUCUGUAUGUGCAAAGUGAAACUCUGGAAGGAGCCAGAGAGUUCCCAUGGCGGGGGGACAGCUGUGCAGAUGGAGGAUGAGAAUGAAAGAGAGACUUUUCCUUCCAUACAUCUGAUAACUUUUGAUUUUGCAUUCAAAUUCUUUGAUUGUCUAUUCAAUUUCUUUAAUCAUAGGAAGAGUUAUCAGAGGAAGCAAAGGUUAAAAUAUAUAUAUUCAUUUAUUCCAGAAAUGUUUAUUCAACAACUACAGUGUGGCAAGAGCUGCAGCAGGCAAUGGAGAAUAAAGGAUGACAAUUCUGGUACUUAGGGAGCAUACAGCCAAGUGAAAGACGCUGACAAGCAAUCAUGACCUAGAUUUAAACCAGAGUGAUUGAGGAAAGGAAGCUGCACCAGUAGAAACAAAAGUCAGAAGGGAAAGCCGCUUUAAGAAAUAAUGUAGUUGAUGGGAGAUGCUCAGCAAUUUGAUGAAGUGAAGGAUUUAUGCAAAUUGGAAGGUUCCAUCAGGGAGUAGGUGAAAGAUUGGCAUUUAGAAAGGAUUCCAAAACUGGAUUUUGAGUAUUCUUCUGAGGUGGAAAUUCUAAGAGAGAAAGCAAGAAGAGAAGGAAACCCGGAAGCAGUCUUGGACAAUGUCCUCAUUUAUUGAGUUUCAGAUGUCUUUUUUUUUUUUUAAUCAAAAGUUUCCAUUCAAGAUUCUGUUUCUUAAAAGCAGUAUCGAUGGAGGUAAGAUCGAAGUAUUUUUUCAAAUAUAGCUUCAAAAGGACUUAAAACACUGUAACAGUCCCCGGCAAAACUGCUAGGCUUUUAUGACCAUAAUAAUGAAAAAGAAGACUUCUUAGUCAGAUAAGGACGGCCCCCACAUGAUAUUCCUGAGGUUGUGUGUCUGACAUCUGGUGAGAUGUCUGGUGCCAUUUUAUGAUUUAUGGUGCAGGAAAUUUGAAGGUUCUUUGGGUGCAAUAUAACUCAGGUGAAAAAGACACUUUGAUUCAAGUCCAUUUUCUUUUAUUUUUGAUCAUUCGGAGAAACCAUUUCAUGUUGCAUAUUAAUUCUUCCCAGAGCCAGCUGGUAGAACACAAGGCUAAUGAGGCCAAAGUUGCUGGUUCAAUCCCUGUACUGCAGACAGGCCCCACGCAGGGAAAGCUUUUUCUUGUGCACCUCUAAUCAAGUGCAGCUGUCUCCCGGUUUGGCAUUAGACACAAAGGAGCCCGGGUGAGGGAAGGUGAAUUCCUGAUGAGGAAUCAUCAUCCAGGAAAAGUAGCACAAGUUUCUAACCUAGUUAAUCUUACGUCUCACAACUUGACAGCCUCCACUCACCUACAUUUGUCCUUGAGGAUUUUUUUUUUUUAAUGUAAGAGAAGAUCAUUCAAAUAAGGAUAUCACAAAUGAUUCACUCAACCAGGAUAAAGGGAAAAUCCAAGGUGAUGUCUGUAAGUGUAAGUGAAUUCCUAAGCCGUGUCUCCUGGGCUUUGUUAUUGUCAGCCAGACCGUUGGUAUUGCUCCUGUGUUAAAUCUGAACAUAACUUUGCCACACAGGAAAAGAAACCUGCAAACAAAGAUGCAUUUUCAGGCUCCAGCCCAAGUUCUGCCAAGCAUGGAGUUUAUAAGUGUAACAAUGGCAGCUGUUCCCACUAGUAAGAACAGCUGGGAAAAACAGAACCAGAGUCAUUAUCUCUCAGAUGAUGAUCUGUUGGAACAAUGCCCAAAAUAUCAACACUGACACUGAGUGACAGCAUUUAGCCUCUGAUAACCCCUUUUAAGUUUGUGUUUCAUUUCACCAAAAGAAAUUAACCGUAUCACAUAUUCAAAAACAAAUAUCUCAGAAUUAUUUCAACAAUUGAGGUAUAAACCUAUGUUCUUUCAGAUGUUUUGAACUACUUGUAUUCAGUAUCAGAAUCAAUAUUGGUCAUUCUGUUCUCCUGAAAGAUUACAGUCUACAGCAGAUACUUUUUAGGUGAAAAGUAAUAGAAUUGGUAUCCUGUUCAAAUUAUCCAUGAAAUCUAAUCCAGUUGCGAUACUUAGAUAGUGCCACAAUUAAACAUUGGUACCUCCAGGGUCCGGGUAACCCAGGAUGGAGAAAAAUCUUGUCAACCUUAUACUCCAUGGACACUAAUUAGGAUUAAAAAUUCAUAAAGUGAGUUAGAUUUAAGGGAAAUCUUAAAGAAAAUUUCAAAAAGAGAACAAUAAAUUUGGUAAAGAAAAGAUGUAACUCAAACAGAGUCAAGAAGAAAAGAGUCAUAAUUCAAUUGGAGUAAAAGCUGGAGCAUAUAAUAUUAUCAUCGUGGUCUCAGCUGCCGACAUUAAAUGAAUGAAUUUUCCCCUUGUUCUUAUGAACAUCAUCAGAUAAAUAACACAAUCAACCUUGACAUCAGGUAGCUACAGAGAUUAUUUUAAUGUCUGGACAGCUGGUAUAAAAGACUCUAGAUUCUGUUAAGAAUUGCUGCAGAAACAAAGUCUCCCUGGAAAGCAGAGUCAGGGGAAAAAUAGGUGGCAUCUGUAAUCAUCAUGUACUCCUCAUGCCCUUGAAUGGUAUGUUCACCAUUAAAACUUUAAGUCAACUCUCUAGAUGAAUGACAAGGUUACAGUAACAUGUAUGACAUCAUGACAUGGGGGAAAAAAAAAAAACAAGCAGGAGUUUUAGAAUCAGGCACAACUCGUAUUUAGCAGGAAAUCACAGUUACUGAAGUCUAGCAAGUGCUUCCUGUAUACCCAGGAACCUUCUACAGGCUUGCAUGGAUUAUUUUCUCACCAACUUCUCCCCAUCAUCCUAUAAUUUUGUAUUAUUAUUUAUUCCCACUUUAUAGAUGAGGGAAGUGGACCACAGAGAAGUUGAGUAAUUUGGGCCAUCUUCAUAGAGGCUGUAAACGGCUCAUCUGUAAGAUAUCUCGCUUUUGGCUUCCCAAAGUAAGCCUCAUGCUGUGACAUUUUCCCCUCCACAUUAAUAAAGUAGCUGAGAAGUUCUGUAUAUCAGAGGUGCUAAUGAAAAGAGGGAAAAGUCAGGGACGGGGAAGAGGUUGAAGGGCCGCCUUUUUAAUAGUUCUGUCUGCAUAGACCAAGAAGGUCUUACCUUUCCUCACUAAACUGUAUAAAACUUGCUCCUAACUAUGGGCCCCUGACCUCCCUUUCCUUAGAGCAUUUACUUUAGAGAAGCUGCCAGUGUAAAUUCUUCCUCUGUCCUUGGAGAAGUAGAUCUUCUUCCAGCCUCUUGCCAAGUGUGUACCCCAGGAAUGUCUUUCUCAAGGCCUGGAUGCCAUCCUUUUGAAAUGUAAUUAGCAAGGAUGGCGCCUCUACCUCCCAGUCGCUAUGGGAGGCUUGGAGCACCAGUUAGGAAACACAGGUGCCUAAUCUUAUUGACCAACUUCCUCCCUUCCGUCCUUAACACAUUCACACUGGCUCCUGCCAGCACUUAAAAAUUCUUCCGUCUUAUGUUUCAACAGGGUUGAGUUCCUUCUCUCUCCUAUAGCAGUUGUCUUCACCUCUAUUGCCAUAGUCCUGAAUAAAAUCUUCCUUUCCUGAUGCAGUUUUCCACUGACAACAGUGGGCUUGACAAUCACUGAAGAAGGCACACAUUAGACAGGAAAAGGGUGUAAGAGAAGCAUGUAACUGGAUUUUCUGAUGAGGAAAAAGAACCAAGGAUGGUGAGAAGAUGCCACACGGUGAGCUCUUUAUGUAAAAAGCAUCAGCACCUCUGUUACUUCCUGACUGGGUCAUGAAGGAAGGCAUUUCUGAAAAUGUAGAAAUCUUGGGAAGGACUGAAAAGGAAAGGGAGAAAGUAUGAAAAAUAAAUGACAGCUUUAAAAAAAGAACAAUUAUAAAAUUUAUACUCUAAAGGCAUAAUAAUAGACUUUUAUGCAAAUUAAAAUGCAUUUAAAUGCAAAUUCAAGGCAUAUUUUUAUGCAAAUUCACGUGUGGUCCUCCUGCCUAUUUCACAUAUUUGGCUGUGACCUUGUAAAGACCUUAGCAACAAUUCCUACCUAAAGUUUUAGAGCAGUCAGGUAAAGGAGAGGCCUAUUGCAAGCUGAUCCUGAGAGACUGGGUGAGGUUUUAGGAGGAAGAAAGGAAGAAUAGGCUAUUGUCAGUUCUGUUCCUUUAGACAUAAGUAAGAGCUUCAGGUUAGGUCUCUGAUAAAUUUAUGUUAAAAUUUUAGCUGUGAGAUCUUGGGUGAAUAAAAGAUUUAAUUUCUCUGAGCCCAGGUCCUCAACUAUGACAGAAGUACAAAUCUUUAGUAAGAAGAGUAUCGUGGCGUUCCCAUUGUGGCUCAGCAGGACUGGAUCCUUAACCCACUGAGGGAGGCCAUGGGUCAAACCUGCAUCCUCGUGGAUCCUAAUCAGGUUCGUUAACAGCUGAGCCAUGACGGGCGCUUCUCAACUAUCAAUCUUCCCACUUGGCUAUAGGUUCCUGUGUGUGUGUGUGUGUGUGUGUGUGUGUGUUCCUCUAGGUAUCUAUACUUUCUGAGAUACUAGUUUUAAGUUGCUUAGAGCCUGGAUAAAUUAAUGUCCACUGCUCAACAUUUACUAUAAUGAUGUACAGACAAUAUUUGAUCAAUAAUUACUUUUGACUCACUUUCCAAGUCGUGAGUUCUAUUAGUUUGCCAGUACUGCUCUGACAAAGUUCCACAGACUGGGUGGCUUAAACCACAGAAUUUAUUUUCUUACUGUUCUGGAGGCUGGAAGUUCAGGAUCAAGCAGUUGGCAGGGUUGACUUCUCUUGAGGCUUCUCUCGUUGACUCAGAUGUGGCUGUCUUCUCCCUGAGUCAUCACAGCAUCUCGUGUGUCAGUGGCCAUUCCUCUUCCAGUAAGGACACUGGUCACGUUAGAUGGGGAUCCACCCUAAUGACCUCAUUUUAACUUAAUUAUUUCUGUAAAAGAUUCUCUGUAUACAACCAUGUUCUAUAGAGGAACUAAGGUUAGGACUUCAAUAUAUGAAUUUUACAAGAGGCACAGUCUAGGCCUAUGAUUGUCUUGCCUUCAUGAACGUCUAUUUUAUAUAAUUUUCUCACCUCAUCCAUUGUAUUUUUACAUUAUUCAUAAUUUUAUAUUUAAUACUUAGAGCAAGUAUAGUCCAGGCACUGAAUUAGGAGUCCUUCAACCUCUUAGGAUAGAGGAGACUAGGACCUUAUAUAAGAAUACAUGAUAGAAUAAGCUUGUAAAUUCCUGGAGAGUGUGGUCUAAGUAUUGUACCUCUUUGAAAAUCCCACAAUGCUCAUGCAGUACAGUAGACUCAGUACAGUAAUUGUCUGUCUGGUAGACAAAUACGUGACUCAAUGAGCGAAUAAGUAGGAGUCAGGCAGCAAUAGCUAUUGGAAGGCACAAGAAGUAACCAUGUUGUCUCACUGAAGACUCUCUAGAGCUCCCCACCUGGUGGAUUUUCAGUGUGAGAAAUGGCCUAGGGACCUCUGUUCAUCUCCAGAGUAGCCUGAGCUACAUCCUGAGGUUUUCCAGUGUUUUCAGAGUUCUUUGCUGCUCCAGAGGUAUGAAGAUGAUUUCAGAGGAGUAAUUGGCCACGGUCUUGAGCAGACUCUGGGGAGGAGAAAGGUGAGAAUACAACACAGUUUAAAUGAUUGAAAGCAGGAAAUUUAAUUUAAAAAAAAAUUGGCAGGUCAUUACCUUUCUCCUUUAGGAAGACCAGUAGUGUUCACUUGGAUCUAAUAACAGGCUUAAUCCACAAAUAGGCAAGUCAUCCAUUUAUCCCCCAAAUGAUUGCAUCUUGAAGUAAUGAAAUACAUUAGCCUCUCUGAUACAGGUAAUUCUCCAACUUACCAACCACUGUGCUCUAUCUACAGAAUUUUGUAUACAUGUAUAUAAUGUCCAUUCCGAAGAGAAAGCUAUCAUUAAUUUUUUUCACAUCUGAUCUUCCCUAACACCACAAUUUAAACCACUGUUAAUUUUCAAAUCCCUUUUCAUUCAUUUUCCAUUUUUUUCACUUUAAAACUGAUUCAAAACAAAAAUUAGUUGAGAUUGCUAGAUGAUAGAUAAAUAAAAUUAGGUAUAGAUAUAGACACAUAAAAUCAUUGAAAUCCAGAUCUCUUUCUAGAAAAAUAUCACUGUUACCAACACACUUUUUAGUUUGCUAGUUAUUUUGUUUUUCAUUUUUAACAGAGACAAAAGGUAAAGAAGAGAGGGAGGAAGAGGAGACAAUUGUACAUUUCUAAGUGUUUUAUCAGAGCAUGAGUUGGGAGGUUGUGUUACAGUCCCUAGUGGAAAUUUGAUUUCAUCACAAACCACCUCACAGUAUGAUACAAUUUAUCACCACUGUCAUCCUAGGCUCAACAGAGAGCAGAAAUAGAAUCCUAGAGGCUCCGUGUGGAGAACCUUGUACCCAGGUGCCUGGUUAAACCUCCAGAAAUCAUCCCCAUUACUGAAUACUAGCUGCUGGCUACUUAUUCUCACAAAUCAGUAAAUGACCCUGAUUUCCCAAUCUUAACUCUUAAAUUGACUGGAAUGUACAUCGAUAACCAUUAAAAAAAAAAAAAA